GGCCUAACACAUGCAAGUCGAGCGAACAGACGAGGAGCUUGCUCCUUUGACGUUAGCGGCGGACGGGUGAGUAACACGUGGGUAACCUACCUAUAAGACUGGGAUAACUUCGGGAAACCGGAGCUAAUACCGGAUAAUAUUUCGAACCGCAUGGUUCGAUAGUGAAAGAUGGCUCUGCUAUCACUUAUAGAUGGACCUGCGCCGUAUUAGCUAGUUGGUAAGGUAACGGCUUACCAAGGCAACGAUACGUAGCCGACCUGAGAGGGUGAUCGGCCACACUGGAACUGAGACACGGUCCAGACUCCUACGGGAGGCAGCAGUAGGGAAUCUUCCGCAAUGGGCGAAAGCCUGACGGAGCAACGCCGCGUGAGUGAUGAAGGUCUUCGGAUCGUAAAACUCUGUUAUUAGGGAAGAACAAACGUGUAAGUAACUGUGCACGUCUGACGGU
Molecule: ribosomal RNA, 448 nt
Filed under: Staphylococcus sp.
Lineage: Bacteria; Bacillati; Bacillota; Bacilli; Caryophanales; Staphylococcaceae
Description: bacterial SSU rRNA
Rfam family: Bacterial small subunit ribosomal RNA
Source: RNAcentral